AUAUGUACCAUGAUAGGAAGUAGUAAGCUUUCCCAUUGAUUUUAGAGAGCUGUUGGCCGGUGAAAAACAGUAUCAAUGGACGCCGAACUCGUCCUAGAGUUGUUAAGGUGAAAUAUAGUAACUUUAACCGGUAAAGGCCGUUAUCGUAUUAAGAGGAUAGUAUACUAUCAAUUAGGGUGGUACCGCGGAAAUAUACCUUUCGUCUCUAUU
This 210-nucleotide non-coding RNA is filed under the name Schnuerera ultunensis. RNAcentral describes it as "Clostridium ultunense T-box sequence". It matches the Rfam family "T-box leader". Rfam says of the family: Uncharged tRNA acts as the effector for transcription antitermination of genes in the T-box leader family. T-boxes are found upstream of many aminoacyl-tRNA synthetase genes and some amino acid biosynthetic genes usually in Gram-positive bacteria. Lineage: Bacteria; Bacillati; Bacillota; Tissierellia; Tissierellales; Tepidimicrobiaceae. RNAcentral also lists the same sequence under 1 other name. The record is from RNAcentral.